ACAUAUUAAUAUUUCCCAUUUCUAUAGAAUCACCUUCAGUGGGCAGGAAAAUUCUGAUGGGUCUAGCUAGCAUGUUUACGAAGGCCAGCAAAGCCAUCUAACCUUUUCCUUUUCCUUCUGUUAUUCAAUUAUUGGCUUACCUUGUAGGAAUGGCCAUUAAUAUCAUUUACUAUCUAGAUAAAGGAGGCAGCUGAAAACUUAAAUGCAGCUUUGAAGGCUUACUAUUGC
Molecule: long non-coding RNA, 228 nt
Filed under: Theobroma cacao (cacao)
Lineage: Eukaryota; Viridiplantae; Streptophyta; Magnoliopsida; Malvales; Malvaceae
Description: long non-coding RNA (TCAC_LNC000102)
Source: RNAcentral